UACGUAGGGUGCGAGCGUUGUCCGGAUUUAUUGGGCGUAAAGCGCUCGCAGGUGGUUCGUUGCGUCGUGCGUGAAAGACCCCGGCUCAACUGGGGAGGGUCGUGCGAUACGGGCGAACUGGAGGCCAGUAGGGGGAUGCGGAAUUCCGGGUGUAGUGGUGGAAUGCGUAGAGAUCCGGAGGAACACCAGCGGCGAAGGCGGCAUCCUGGACUGGUCCUGACACUCAUGAGCGAAAGCGUGGGGAGCGAUCCGG
Molecule: ribosomal RNA, 253 nt
Filed under: uncultured bacterium
Lineage: Bacteria
Description: partial 16S ribosomal RNA
Rfam family: Bacterial small subunit ribosomal RNA
Source: RNAcentral